Long non-coding RNA from Daphnia pulicaria, 666 nucleotides. RefSeq lists it as uncharacterized. The transcript is spliced from 4 exons. NCBI's taxonomy places the organism in Eukaryota, Metazoa, Arthropoda, Branchiopoda, Diplostraca, Daphniidae. The record is from RefSeq and is a predicted model, not a curated record.
AUUAACUCGUAACAAGUUGGAGAUAAAAAAAUAAAGAAAAAGUUUCUGAAAAUGCAACGCUGUUAAUGAAAACGUCAUUAGCACAUUUCGUCGAACCCGCGAGAACUGCGAGACGAAUGUUUAAAAAUGUGCCAGUUCCGUCUGUUUUCAAAUGAUUUUAUGAUUUGAAAUGAUAUGCUUUUUCUUCAAUUGCAUUCAAGUUGAAUGCAGGAUGGGUUUUUCCCUCGAAAUCGGCGUGUGUGCUGGUCAAAUAGACAACAGUUCUGCUGUUGAGAGGAAAAAAGUUUGGGCUCAGUAUGACCUUGGGCCAGUGCCAGCAUCAAUAAUAACCAGCUUUUCUCGGCAGAUGCUGCAAUACUUCCCUGAAUAUUAAUGAAGCCUCAACCAAGCCAAGAAGCCCUAUUCUCCCUGGCCCUGUAGAGACAUUUUUCGAUUCCUUUUUGGAAAACGUCAAUUCAACUAGAAAAGCAAGUGGCCUGCACACCCCAGCACACAAGACUAUUCGUGAUACGGUCGGGAAACCUCGGAAGAUGAAAUGGAUCGCAGGAAUAAACACAAACAAAUGGAAAUGAGUUGUAAGAAAGAAGCUUCGCUGUGUACAGCAAUGUCGCUGCAGAGGCUCCGAGAGUGAUUUGACUAGGGAAUUCCUUCGUAGUACCAUUCGGC